UUCAGGAAUGGGGAAAGUUUGUCCAGCAGGCUAAGAUAAAAGCCUCCAAGACCCAUGCAAGGCACAACUUCCAGAAGCGGAAGUACAUGCCACGACUGGGAUGCUGACACCGAUUGGUUGGUUUCUCCGUCCUAUCCACUACUGACCUGACCAGGAAUCCCAGCUGCAGUCCGUGUAAUAGCCGCAGGGCACCAUCCCCGACCGUGG
This is a long non-coding RNA of Chiloscyllium plagiosum (whitespotted bambooshark), 207 nucleotides long. RefSeq lists it as uncharacterized. The record is from RefSeq and is a predicted model, not a curated record. NCBI's taxonomy places the organism in Eukaryota, Metazoa, Chordata, Chondrichthyes, Orectolobiformes, Hemiscylliidae.